RNAcentral lists this ribosomal RNA (496 nucleotides) under uncultured bacterium. RNAcentral's name for it is "partial 16S ribosomal RNA". It matches the Rfam family "Bacterial small subunit ribosomal RNA", at positions 28 to 507 of the family's 1533-position model. The record is from RNAcentral.
GAUGAACGCUGGCGGCGUGCCUAAUACAUGCAAGUCGAGCGAACGGACGAGAAGCUUGCUUCUCUGAUGUUAGCGGCGGACGGGUGAGUAACACGUGGAUAACCUACCUAUAAGACUGGGAUAACUUCGGGAAACCGGAGCUAAUACCGGAUAAUAUUUUGAACCGCAUGGUUCAAAAGUGAAAGACGGUCUUGCUGUCACUUAUAGAUGGAUCCGCGCUGCAUUAGCUAGUUGGUAAGGUACGGCUUACCAAGGCAACGAUGCAUAGCCGACCUGAGAGGGUGAUCGGCCACACUGGAACUGAGACACGGUCCAGACUCCUACGGGAGGCAGCUGUAGGGAAUCUUCCGCAAUGGGCGAAAGCCUGACGGAGCAACGCCGCGUGAGUGAUGAAGGUCUUCGGAUCGUAAAACUCUGUUAUUAGGGAAGAACAUAUGUGUAAGUAACUGUGCACAUCUUGACGGUACCUAAUCAGAAAGCCACGGCUAACUACGUG